This 433-nucleotide ribosomal RNA is filed under the name uncultured bacterium. RNAcentral's name for it is "partial 16S ribosomal RNA". It matches the Rfam family "Bacterial small subunit ribosomal RNA", at positions 29 to 507 of the family's 1533-position model. The record is from RNAcentral.
AACGAACGCUGGCGGCAGGCCUAACACAUGCAAGUCGAGCGAGGACUUCGGUCCUAGCGGCGGACGGGUGAGUAACGCGUGGGAACGUGCCCUUUGCUUCGGAAUAGCCCUGGGAAACUGGGAGUAAUACCGGAUGAGCCCUUUGGGGGAAAGAUUUAUCGGCGAAGGAUCGGCCCGCGUUGGAUUAGGUAGUUGUUGGGGUAAUGGCCUACCAAGCCGACGAUCCAUAGCUGGUUUGAGAGGAUGAUCAGCCACACUGGGACUGAGACACGGCCCAGACUCCUACGGGAGGCAGCAGUGGGGAAUCUUAGACAAUGGGGGAAACCCUGAUCUAGCCAUGACGCGUGAGCGAUGAAGGCCUUAGGGUUGUAAAGCUCUUUCAGCUGGGAAGAUAAUGACGGUACCAGCAGAAGAAGCCCCGGCUAACUCCGUG